GACGAACGCUGGCGGCGUGCUUGACACAUGCAAGUCGAACGGAAAGGCCCUGCUUUUGUGGGGUGCUCGAGUGGCGAACGGGUGAGUAACACGUGAGUAACCUGCCCUUGACUUUGGGAUAACUUCAGGAAACUGGGGCUAAUACCGGAUAGGAGCUCCUGCUGCAUGGUGGGGGUUGGAAAGUUUCGGCGGUUGGGGAUGGACUCGCGGCUUAUCAGCUUGUUGGUGGGGUAGUGGCUUACCAAGGCUUUGACGGGUAGCCGGCCUGAGAGGGUGACCGGCCACAUUGGGACUGAGAUACGGCCCAGACUCCUACGGGAGGCAGCAGUGGGGAAUAUUGCACAAUGGGCGGAAGCCUGAUGCAGCAACGCCGCGUGCGGGAUGACGGCCUUCGGGUUGUAAACCGCUUUCGCCUGUGACGAAGCGUGAGCGACGGUAAUGGGUAAAGAAGCACCGGCUAACUACGUG
RNAcentral lists this ribosomal RNA (468 nucleotides) under uncultured bacterium. RNAcentral's name for it is "partial 16S ribosomal RNA". It matches the Rfam family "Bacterial small subunit ribosomal RNA", at positions 28 to 507 of the family's 1533-position model. The record is from RNAcentral.